AUGCCUAGCUAUAAACUUUGAUUCAUCCGCCCGAGUACUACGAGCAACAGCUUGAAACUCAAAGGACUUGGCGGUGCUCCACACCCCCCUAGAGGAGCCUGUUCUAUAAUCGAUAAUCCACGAUAAACCUCACCAUCUGUUGCUAAUACAGCCUAUAUACCACCGUCCAGCCCACCCUCUAAGGGCCCAACAGCAGGCACAACUACAAACGUAAAAACGUCAGGUCAAGGUGUAGCAAAUAAGACGGGAAGAAAUGGGCUACAUUUUCUAACCUAGAAAAACACGGAAAAGCUUGUGAAAUAAAACUACGAAGGAGGAUUUAGCAGUAAAAAGAAAAAAGAGCGUUCUUUUUAAACCGGCAAUGGAGCGCGC
Molecule: ribosomal RNA, 372 nt
Filed under: Calotriton arnoldi (Montseny brook newt)
Lineage: Eukaryota; Metazoa; Chordata; Amphibia; Caudata; Salamandridae
Description: partial 12S ribosomal RNA
Rfam family: Bacterial small subunit ribosomal RNA
Source: RNAcentral